Non-coding RNA from Ictalurus furcatus (blue catfish), 729 nucleotides. The record is from the annotation of a RefSeq genome assembly. NCBI's taxonomy places the organism in Eukaryota, Metazoa, Chordata, Actinopteri, Siluriformes, Ictaluridae.
AUACAUCACUGAGAAGAAUGAGUGUAAUCUUACACCGUCUUAGUUCAGUCUGUAGCCUUGACAUCUAGAGAUAUGAUCAGGAUUAUAAUAAUCUUUCAGUCACUUUACUGGAUUCAAGGAGUUGCAGGGGCAAAUGAUGUCUUGCAGCCCAAUAUACUCUGGGCUAAAUUCGGCCAAUCAGUCACAAUAAACUGCUCACACACCAAGGGUUCAGCUUACAGAGAAAUGUACUGGUUUCGUCAGUAUCAAGGAGAGAGUAUGGAGCUCAUCGUGUACACUACCAGCUUUGGCACUCCAGACUUUGGAAAAUCCGACCAAAAGAAAUUUUCAGCUAUUAAAACAGUUCCUGAGAACGGCUCAUUCACAGUGAAAGACGUGGAUUAUAAUGACAACGCUGUGUAUUUCUGUGCCGUGAGAGAACACAGUGCUAUAACCACAGGGCAGAGCUGUACAAAAACACACCAUGUGUCAGUCAGGAAGGAAUAAAGACACCUGAAGGAGGCAGUAUGUGACAACAAAUUUAUUCCACUGUGAGUCAUGGUUACAGAUAGUUAUUUAUUUUAUUACAGACAAAAACUAAUCCAGACAAGAUUUUUGUGUGAUGUUAUAAAGGUUUUUUUUUUUUUUUAAUAAUCCCAAGGAGAAAGAAAUCAUUGAGCAUGAGUCUCUAAACAACUUAAAAGGUUGCAACAUUAUACUGUAAUUACAUGAUUAAUGCAACCUGUUUGA